This 324-nucleotide ribosomal RNA is filed under the name uncultured prokaryote. RNAcentral describes it as "bacterial SSU rRNA". It matches the Rfam family "Bacterial small subunit ribosomal RNA", at positions 26 to 352 of the family's 1533-position model. The record is from RNAcentral.
AGAUUGAACGCUAGCGGCAUGCCUAACACAUGCAAGUCGAACGGUAACAGGCCCUUCGGGGUGCUGACGAGUGGCGGACGGGUGAGUAAUGCGUAGGAAUCUACCCACGAGUGGGGGAUAACGUAGGGAAACUUACGCUAAUACCGCAUACGACCGAGAGGUGAAAGCGGGGGACCGAAAGGCCUCGCGCAGCAGGAUGAGCCGAUGUCCGAUUAGCUGGUUGGUGGGGUAACGGCCCACCAAGGCGACGAUCGGUAGCUGGUCUGAGAGGAUGAUCAGCCACACUGGGACUGAGACACGGCCCAGACUCCUACGGGAGGCAGC